AGAAGAUUGGGAUGUUAACAUCACAAGAAUGUAUUGAGUCAUUUCCGCAUCAUCUUAACCACACUAUGACAACACUAGCUUUUCUUUGAUGCUGUUUCCAGGUGUAAGUACAGAGCUGGGGUUGGGAGAGACUGGUAGCUUCCUGUAUAUAUGAAAUACAGGAUACAAUUUAAAAUGGCUGUUUGUGAAUUCAUAAAUGUAAGUAAUUGGAACAAAGCUCAAAACUCUCUUUUUUGUUUAAUUCUUCUACAGGCUACACACAAGUCCAAAAGGGAUAGAACUUUGUGACUAUUUUUGACAGUGUCGAGUGGCCCCUCAUCUUUGGGCAUUUUGGAGCAGAUAGGGACAUAGCAACAUAGCUGUACAAGCUGAAUCUGCUACGUCUUCAAUAUAAUUUCCUAAUUAUGACUUUUUUCUUCCUUCGUAGAAAGAUCCACAUAUCCUCUAUGAAGCAGCGGGUAGAAGAAACAAUGGCAGCGGCAGCUUUUUAAAAAGAGAGAGAACAUUCACAAACGUGAAGACUUUGUGUGGGAAAAUAUGUCUUUCCAAAUUCAAAAGAAUGAGUAUUUGGAACAUUGAUCGUUCUGCCUCUCUAUAGCUUUUCAAAUAGUCCCACAGAUUUCAAAUGUGUUUAAUGAAUCAGGAAUAGAGCUAAAUGAAAGAGCCUUAUUUGACUGAGAGAUUAAAGAGAAAUUGCAAUUUGUUUUACAAAACAGUGAGAACAUCAAGGAGUACUCACAACAACUGCCAGUGCCUCUUGGGAUCAAAUAAUUUGGAAGCAUGAAGUGCCCAAAGAACAAGAGAGGAAGCAAUUUGCAGGAAGGAGUUUGCUACUUUGCAAGAAAUUUAUUAGAAUACCAGUUCUCAGGGGGAAAGACUUCUAAGAAUUCAGGGCAAUUAGACUGUGUUUUCAAAAAAUGUUUUGGACAGGGAAUAUAAUAAAAUAAUCCAGUAUCUGCCACUCAUCACUCGGUCAACACUAGCGUUAAGUAAAGUUAUUACAACUGUAAGAUAUUCAAGAAAGGAUAGUCAUCAACAUGCGUUUAAUAUUCCUCUUCUGAUUUGUGUAGUUAGCAUUGUCUAAUCCUCACUGUGUAACACUGAAAUUGCCAUUUAUGUUUGUUUUUUUAAAAGGUACUCGAUUCUGUACUUGAGAUUCAGUGGUUGAGAAGCUUCACGAUUUCAUGAAAAUCCUUUGACACCAUGAAAAAAUGUGGUACUGUACAUUCCACUGGUGGAGAUAAAAUGGAGUGGAGUCGUGGACAGGCUAUGAGUGGAACAUAGCAGGAUCAUGUUUAUUGUGUAUCUAUAAUCCUCCAGACCCCACAGCCACCCCCCUGUUGAUGGUGGAACUUGACGUCAACUGCAGAACUGGGACAAGAAAUGUGGAUCCCAUUGGCUGCUGCUGGUGUGUGAUUGAAAAAUGAAAAUGAACACUAGAGAGUUGUUGUUGUUGGUGGUGGUGGUGGUGGUGUGUGUGUGUGUGUGUGUGUGAGAGAGAGAGAGAGAGAGAGAGAGAGAGAGAGAGAGAGCGCAUACAAAACAGGAUAGUAUUGGAUUGCCUUUGGCAUUCAGGUUUAAAUCCUGAUACCAUUCUGUUUUAUUAUUUAUUGAAUUUUGAAAAGUUUUCAAGAUUUUUACAGUAAGAGAAUCCCCCUUCCUUCACUUCCCAUAAGACCUUCCUUCACUUCCCAUAAGAUGUCAAGGAGAUAAAGAACUUCACAACUUUUAGAAGACAUCUGAAGACAGUCCUGUAUCAAGAAGUUUUUAAUGUUUGAUGUUAUAUUAUGUUUUAUUAUGUGUUGGAAACUGCCUAGAGUGGCUGGGGCAACCCAGCCAGAUGGGCGGGGUAUAAAUAAUAAAAUUGUUGUUGUUGUUACUGUUAGAAUUGGUGGC
Molecule: long non-coding RNA, 1896 nt
Filed under: Podarcis lilfordi (Lilford's wall lizard)
Lineage: Eukaryota; Metazoa; Chordata; Lepidosauria; Squamata; Lacertidae
Source: RNAcentral